UGCGCGCAGUAGCGGCCGUUUUUAUCGAGUGUUCUAGAGCUUUGAAAAUUCUAGAAGGCACCUCCCGGAAGCCCGCCCGAUUUCUAGAACAUUCUAUCAAACUCGGAGUUAAAGUUGAUAUUUCUUGAUAAUUAACCGCGUAGUAUUUAGAAGAGGAUGCUUUUAAAAUUCGUAUCAUCGAUUUAAAAGGUGUGUUCUGUACAGAGCCGAGUAUCAUUCACACAUAAAACGUCAGUGAAACAGUUGCGAUUAUAUCUACUCGCGUAGUAGACGGAAAUGACGACGUAGCUGCACAUGUCUAGAAACAUCGCGAUUCUCGGAGCAACUUGGAAUAACGUUCAUGCGGCAAAAUUGUACGAAACUUUUUUAUCAAAAUAUGACACACGUACAUGCAAACAUACAUGAUACAGCAUGCAUGCACGUUAAAUGAAAGCCUGAUGCUGCAGCUACAGCAGUUUUUUAUAUUUUUCUAAUAUUUCUAUAACAAUUUAUUUAAUUCUCUUUUGUCAUUUACAUUUUUCGUCCAAACUGCGAUACAAUUUAUGUAUGCAGAAUAUUAUGAAAAAGAAAUUAUAAAAUGUAACUCAUAUUCUGUGUAACGGUCGUGUAAGUCAUUAUUUAUUAGAAGUAAAUCCGUUAAUUCGUGUGAAUCUAUGUGCUCAUGUCAAAUUCUAUUUAGUUCGAUAUUUACUGAACAUCGUGUUUUUAAUACAAUUCAACGAUCAUUUUGUACUUACUCGAGUGUUGUCUUUUGCAGAAUUUCUUACCCAAUGAAUUAUGGUUUUCUUGAUAAUACUUAAUUAUCCUUGUGUGUAGGGGCGAUUCAUUCUAGAACUUCCAAAAUUGUGUAUAUUUAUAUUAUCGCUUGAGAACGGAAGUUCUUUCCUUUCCUGAAAUAAAUAUAAUUGUUAUUUGAGAACAACUGAGUUUUAUUAUUUCGCAAAAUUUCCUGUUUUUAGAGCAAUUAUGCUGUUUUACAUAAUGUAAAAAGGACAUCGUAUAUAAUAUACAACAUGCAGGUGCGAUCAAUGUGGUAUAAACAGUGUUCGCACAGUCCUAUUGGCACUCUUGUUCCGUGUUUUCAUUGUUCUGAUUACAUUUCUGAUAAUUACUUUGACCCUACCUAAAGUUUUCUCAAAUAAUUAGCAAGGACGAGACAUGAAGGAUGCUAAAUUUAAGGAAAACGUUUAUUCCGUAAGACAAAACCGACAACGAUCUGUGUUGGAUGUGAAGAUACUAAUACAGGACAACCGUUGACCGUUAAGGGCUCGAGUUCGAACGCGUACGCGUAGGAACAGUAGUGACAUCUAUACUUGUCGAAAGUGAACGAUAUUGGAAGUACAAUGAUGAAUUGCAUACAUUCACAAUGUAAUAUAAUUUUUAAUUGAAUAUACCAACAGGUUCUAAGAAAAUUCAGACUGAUGUAAAGUGCAAGCUCCUGGGAGGCGAUCACCAAAGAUGAUGCUUCACGCUACACGCAUCCUUCCCGUCAGGGUCGAUCCGUGAGGAGACGGAACGUCCACGAAUUUUGUUGGGGGAAUAACUUAUCGUAUUAUUAUCGAACCAUUGAUUGUGCGAAUGAAUCUAUUAAUAGCGAGCGAGGAUAUUUUGUUUUGCUGUUGAUAGUAUUUAAAAGAGGAACAAUGAAGUGGUUUGCAUAUAAAAUUUGAUAGCCUUGUACAUAUUUAACCACUGUAUUUAAAAUAUUACAUUUUUCCUCUAAUGUUUAUUCGAAUUUUCUGUAGGAAAACUUUCUGUCCAGCGUAUAAUGAUCUACGCAGAUGCGGAAAUUGAAUUUAGUAAUGCUUUUACGUUAUUGUUUGCUUUAAGAUUCUCUUCGUUUAACAAUCUUAGUCGUAUGCAAAAAUGUCUGUCGAAUACAAUUAAUUGUGCUGAUGCCAGCCUACAAUCUCAAUAUCUGGACAGUUGCCAGCUAUUGCACUAUACAACCAUCAUCCUUGCACUUUGUUUUUAUUCUACUGCAUUUAUUUCUAUGCACAAUAUCUGAAGCUAUACGAAAGAUACGUAUAAUUUUUAAAAAUAUGAAAGUAUAAAAUUCAAACGUAGGAUUUAAUAAAUACGAAUUAUGGAAAUGGCAUAUUUUACGUAAUAAUAAAUUUGUAUACGUGUGCACGUAUUUACGAUAAUUUAGGUCGUUGCGCUAAAUCAAGAAGUUCGUACUGUAAAGAUAGUUUGCGGGCGGUACACAUGUUAUGUCUCAUGGAAUUUAAGUAUCCUCAGUAUUUAUGUUUUGUUAAGCUGACAUGAACACCUUGGUUUCUAUGUACAUUUGCUUUAUGACAUCAUAUUGGUCAGUCCAGGCUUAUAAAGCUUCCACCACGAUCAUCACCAUAAACGGGCGCAUAAAUUAUACGCGUUGCAUAUCUUAUUCCUACUCGAGAUUAAAAACGAAAGUUAUUAUUGUUGGUAAUAUAUUAUACUUGA
Long non-coding RNA from Ceratina calcarata, 2445 nucleotides. RefSeq lists it as uncharacterized. The record is from RefSeq and is a predicted model, not a curated record. The transcript is spliced from 3 exons. NCBI's taxonomy places the organism in Eukaryota, Metazoa, Arthropoda, Insecta, Hymenoptera, Apidae.